GAAACAAUUCUGCUGAUGGUGAAAGGUCCUGGCAGAGUCCAUGCAGUGUCAUCUGUGCAGUGGGGAUAAUAGCAGCACCAGCCUCAGCACUCAGAGAUGAACACUCAGCGAUCAAAGAUGAUGCUUAUAAAAUCCUUAGCCCACAGCCCUCACCUAGUAAGUGCACCAUAGUAUGUUAGGAGCUCCAGAAAUCUGGGGAAAGGCUCCCAUUGGCCAAGCCCAAGUCAGGGCCCACCUUUAGCCAAUCAUUGAUGUCUGAUUAAUUG
RNAcentral lists this long non-coding RNA (266 nucleotides) under Heterocephalus glaber (naked mole-rat). RNAcentral's name for it is "lncRNA (ENSHGLG00100036001.1)". Lineage: Eukaryota; Metazoa; Chordata; Mammalia; Rodentia; Bathyergidae. The record is from RNAcentral.